Molecule: transfer RNA, 62 nt
Filed under: Dipodomys ordii (Ord's kangaroo rat)
Lineage: Eukaryota; Metazoa; Chordata; Mammalia; Rodentia; Heteromyidae
Rfam family: tRNA
About the family: Transfer RNA (tRNA) molecules are approximately 80 nucleotides in length.
Source: Rfam by way of RNAcentral
GGGAAGGUGGCUCAGUGGUAGAGCACUUGCCUUGUAUGCAUGAGGCCUUGGGUUCCUUUCCU